AUAGUUAGCUGGCAGGGGAGAGACCAUGAUCACAAAGUGGUUUCCCCAGAGCGUGGCUUAUCCAUUGCAUACAGGAUGUGCUGACCCCCAUGAUUUCCCCGAAUGUGGGAAACUUGAGUGCAUAACUUGUGGUAGUGGGGGACUGCAUUCGCACUCUCCCCUG
This is a small nuclear RNA of Echinops telfairi (small Madagascar hedgehog), 163 nucleotides long. Its record names the gene U1. It matches the Rfam family "U1 spliceosomal RNA". From Rfam's summary of the family: U1 is a small nuclear RNA (snRNA) component of the spliceosome (involved in pre-mRNA splicing). NCBI's taxonomy places the organism in Eukaryota, Metazoa, Chordata, Mammalia, Afrosoricida, Tenrecidae. The record is from Ensembl.